CUCAAUAGUCACAUGUGACUAGUGGCUACCACAUUGGAUCAUGAAGAGAGAGAACAUUUCCAAGUUUUAUUAGUGCAGAAGCAGGUGGAGGAAAAUGUGCCAGCUAAUGCUUCCUCUGGGUGUUGUCCAGAGUGCUGAAUUUCUGGGCAGCCAGGGGGCCCUUGCUCUGCUAUGGGUUGAAGAUUCAGCCUGAUCACUUCUUGUCAAAGUUGGGGAGUCUGAGCUGGUUCUGGGCCUAGCAAGGCAAUCUACUCUGUUAAAGUCGAUAGAGGGAGAAGCUGGGGAGAACACCGCAAUUUUUUCUAUGAGCCCUCUGUAGAGGGCGGGUGGUGGGGGCUCCACAGACUGCUCCUUGGUUCCACAGGCCAUGCCCGGAGGUGCUGGCUUCGAGCCCUUCAGACAAGUAAGGUCAGCUCUGCCCCCUCCUGCUUCACUUGCCCUGUAGCUGUGGAUGCUACUACUAGGGAGGUCCUGCCUGGGGCCCUGCAGGUGUGCAGCUCAGAGCCCGCUGAGCCCCCAGGAACCCCUCCUGCCUCUCACAGCCAUCUAGAUGCAGCUCCUCUGCCCACUGUUGUCUACUCUAAAGGUAACACCCAAAGGUAGGGAAAGGGUAGGGGCACUUGGGCUUAGAGACCACCCCCUGGCACUGAUGAUCCCCACUGCAGGACUUCAGAGAGGCUCUCCAGCAGGCGCCUGGGACUCGGACCAAAAUGGCAACUCCAAGCGUGCUUUGGGGGACCCUGCCACUCCCACGGAAGGUCCUCGCCGCCCACCUCCCCGUCCUCCCUGUCGGCUCAGCAUGGGCCGCCGUCACAAACUCUGUAGCCCUGACCCGGGCCAGGCCAACAACAGUGAAGGCAGCGACCAUGACUACCUGCCCUUG
RNAcentral lists this small RNA (883 nucleotides) under Pan troglodytes (chimpanzee). RNAcentral's name for it is "retained intron". The record is from RNAcentral. Lineage: Eukaryota; Metazoa; Chordata; Mammalia; Primates; Hominidae.